UCCGGUUGAUCCUGCCGGAGGCUACCGCUAUCGGAGUCCGAUUUAGCCAUGCUAGUCGACCGAGCUUCGCGCUCGGGGCANAUAGCUGAGUAACACGUGGCUAACCUACCCUGUGGAUCAGGACAACCUCGGAAAACUGAGGCUAAGCCUGGAUAGCANAGGAACGCUGGAAUGCAUCCUCUGUGAAAUGUUACGGCGCCACAGGAUGGAGCCGCGGCUGAUUAGGUCGUUGGUGAGGUAACGGCUCACCAAGCCGAUAAUCAGUAGCAGCCGUGAGAGCGGGAGCUGCCAGUCGUGUUCUGAGACAAGAACACGGACCCUACGGGGUGCAGCAGGCACGAAACCUCUACAAUGCACGCAAGUGCGAUAAGGGGACUCCGAGUGCAGUCUUCCCACAAGGAAGGCCGCUUUUCUGUACUGUAAGGAGGUACAGGAACAAGGGGUGGGCAACACUGCUGCCAGCCGCCGCGGUAAUAGCAGGACCCCAAGUGGUAGCCGCUUUUAUUGGGCUUAAAGUGUUCGUAGCCGGCUAUGUAAGUCUGCUGUGAAACCCAGGCGCUUAACGUCUGGAUGUGCAGCGGAUACUGCAUGGCUAGGGACCGGACGGCGUCGAGGCUAUUCCAGGGGUAGGAGUGAAAUCCAAAAAUCCCUGGAGGAGCACCUGUGGCGAAAGCGCUCGACGAGUACGGAUCCGACGGUGAGGGACGAAAGCCAGGGGAGCAAAGGGGAUUAGAUACCCUCGUAGUCCUGGCCGUUAACAUUGUUCGUUUGAUGUCGGCUAACCUCCGUGGUUAGCCGGUGCCGAAGUGAAAACGUUAAACGAACCGC
This 828-nucleotide ribosomal RNA is filed under the name uncultured archaeon. RNAcentral's name for it is "bacterial SSU rRNA". It matches the Rfam family "Archaeal small subunit ribosomal RNA", at positions 1 to 827 of the family's 1478-position model. The record is from RNAcentral.